Molecule: ribosomal RNA, 274 nt
Filed under: uncultured bacterium
Lineage: Bacteria
Description: partial 16S ribosomal RNA
Rfam family: Bacterial small subunit ribosomal RNA
Source: RNAcentral
AUACGGAGGGUGCAAGCGUUAUCCGGAAUCAUUGGGUUUAAAGGGUCCGUAGGCGGGCUAUUAAGUCAGAGGUGAAAUCCCACAGCUCAACUGUGGAACUGCCUUUGAUACUGAUAGUCUUGAGUUACAGUGAAGUAGAUAGAAUAUGUAGUGUAGCGGUGAAAUGCAUAGAUAUUACAUAGAAUACCGAUUGCGAAGGCAGUCUACUAACUGUAUACUGACGCUGAUGGACGAAAGCGUGGGGAGCGAACAGGAUUAGAAACCCUAGUAGUCC